GGCCUGGUAGUUCAGUUGGUUAGAAUGCCGCCCUGUCACGGCGGAGGUCACGGGUUCGAGUCCCGUCCAGGUCGCCA
RNAcentral lists this transfer RNA (77 nucleotides) under Pseudomonadales bacterium. RNAcentral's name for it is "tRNA-Asp". It matches the Rfam family "tRNA". Rfam says of the family: Transfer RNA (tRNA) molecules are approximately 80 nucleotides in length. Their secondary structure includes four short double-helical elements and three loops (D, anti-codon, and T loops). Lineage: Bacteria; Pseudomonadati; Pseudomonadota; Gammaproteobacteria; Pseudomonadales. The record is from RNAcentral. RNAcentral also lists the same sequence under 1 other name.